Molecule: long non-coding RNA, 1068 nt
Filed under: Apteryx haastii (Great spotted kiwi)
Lineage: Eukaryota; Metazoa; Chordata; Aves; Apterygiformes; Apterygidae
Description: lncRNA (ENSAHAG00000003107.1)
Source: RNAcentral
AUGCUAAUAGCGCCCCAUCGUAAAUCCCUCCUCCUGCACUUAGAAGCCUGUGGUUUCUGCUCCACCCCGGGCUGCUGUAGGCACCCCGACGGUGGUGUUGGUGCUGACGUGCAGUCGGAGGGAGGGAAGGUCCCGAUCGGGCUGGGAGGUGCCUGGCCUCCUGCUAUUCCUGGUGCCGGCACCCCGUGGCCCUGGGCAAAUUGCUGCUCCGUGCUGCACCCGCUUCCCCCAUUUGUCGGGGAGGGUAAUAGCACUGCUGUUUCGGCAGCAUCCAGGGCAGUGAGAGCCCAAGGAACGCGGUCAGCUCCAAAAUUGCACAUCUGUCUGGGGCUGCCAGCCUUUCCCAGGAGCCUGCGGGCAGGAUGGCCACGGGGCAGCUGUUCCUCGGCGCCUGCACAGCCUUGCCUCUUGGACCCGGUUAUAGUGCGAUCCCUAGUCCUUUUUGGGCUCCUGCUUUUACACGACGUGUACUUCCAAUUUAUCCAGCCUGAGCACCUCCCUGCAGGCCCCCGGUGCAGCCAGCGCGCGUUGUACCAUGCAGGAGCGUGUGCAGAGGAGGCCUUUGGAUCAAGAUGUGCGAUUUUGAGAGCUUCAGAUCACUCAGCAAAGCAUCCAAACAUUUUGCCCAAGGCACUGGCCAGAACCAGGCUGCCAAUCUGCAAUUUAAUCUUCCUACUUCUGAUAUUUCCAGCUCUAGUGAAACGUGGGCUGAAAGAGCAGCUCUUCUUGAGGAUGUUUAGAAAAAAACUAAUAAAAGCAGCUGUGUGGAACCGGGGGGCGGGGAAAGGCACUGAUUGUUCAUUAAUUGAUAAACCAAAUAUCCCUGUCCAGAAAAUCCCAGGGGUGGAGAGGCAGAGCAGAGUGCAGCAUCCUAUUUCCCCUUCCCCGGAGGAGGAGGAGGCUGGCGAGGCAGCUCGCUCCGUGGGUCAGCUCGUGUCUCGGGGGCUCUGCGUGGCCCCCGAGCCGCAGUGUCGUGCCCGUGCCGGCCCCGAGGGCUGCACCCGACUGAAGCAGCGGGGCCCUGGGAGCGCUGCGGGUGCUGCCGGUUUCGGGUGCACGUUGGAGUGA